AUUGAACGCUGGCGGCAGGCCUAACACAUGCAAGUCGAGCGGUAGAGAGAAGCUUGCUUCUCUUGAGAGCGGCAAACGGGUGAGUAAUGCCUAGGAAUCUGCCUGGUAGUGGGGGAUAACGCUCGGAAACGGACGCUAAUACCGCAUACGUCCUACGGGAGAAAGCAGGGGACCUUCGGGCCUUGCGCUAUCAAAUGAGCCUAGGUCGGAUUACCUAGUUGGUGAGGUAAUGGCUCACCAAGGCGACAAUCCGUAACUGGUCUGAGAGGAUGAUCAGUCACACUGGAACUGAAACACGGUCCAAACUCCUACGGGAGGCAGCAGUGGGGAAUAUUGGACAAUGGGCGAAAGCCUGAUCCAGCCAUGCCGCGUGUGUGAAGAAGGUCUUCGGAUUGUAAAGCACUUUAAGUUGGGAGGAAGGGCAGUUACCUAAUACGUAUCUGUUUUGACGUUACCGACAGAAUAAGCACCGGCUAACUCUGUG
Molecule: ribosomal RNA, 484 nt
Filed under: uncultured bacterium
Lineage: Bacteria
Description: bacterial SSU rRNA
Rfam family: Bacterial small subunit ribosomal RNA
Source: RNAcentral